UCCGUGUGUCCUCCCCCAAGCAACGGCUGAAGGUGGCUUCUUCCCUCCCCUCAUCUGCACCCCCGUUCUCAUUCCCAUUCCCGGAUCUGGCUCGGACCAGUCCUGGUGCGAGAGGCCACCGGCGGCGGAGCAUGCAAUGCGAGCGCUCUAACCAUGUCUGACCGAAUCCUGCCGCCGUGCCCGCCCCUCUCGCCGUGGCCGAUGACCGCUUCCCUCCCCGGACGGCGGCGAUGAUGGAGGGAGCCGCCGGCGACGGCCAGGCUCCGGGCGGCGGUCGCGCCGGGCCGCCGCUCCUCGGGGCCAGCCCCCCUCGCCGCGCCGUCGCGCAUCGGCUUGGAGGCCCCUCGGGGCUGCCGCCGAUGCGGGGGGCGUCCGCGGCCGUGCGGGCUGGGGACCGAGCGGCGCUCCGGUCAAGGGCCUGGUCUGGCCGGCGCGGGAUCUGAGCCGCCGUCGAUGGAUUUCUCGCAGCUUGGCUGCGUUUUGCUUUGGAUCCGAGAGGCAGCGAUGAGGAAUGAUGAAGGUGGUGAAGCCUGCCGUCUCCCCCGGCCUCGGACCUUUGCUUCAUGGGGCCACCCCUCCUGUCGCGCCCUCUGCACUAAUGCAUCGGCUUGGGAGGCCCUUCUCGGGCAGCCGCCACAGCUGAAACAUCAGGGGCUGGCGGUUUGCGGUGUGGAUCAUGGGGUGGAGUAGUCCUGUGGCCUCUGGUGGCUGGGAAGUUGGGUGUGCUCAACGAGAUCUGAGCUACUCUGAUGGAUUUUUCACGAUUCAGUUCCGCUUUUUGGACCUGAGCUGCUGUGUCUGGGAAGUCUGAAUCCCUCUCCGCCUGAACUCUUACUGAAUGUGGAGGGAAUACAUAUUGAACGAUACUUGCGUUCCAAAGAGGCACUUAAAUCUUAAUUACCACCUCUUCUCUCUUCUGAGCUCUAAUCGCCCUCCAGCUGCUGAUACUGUGCUUAGCUGCAUAUGUUUUGUAUCUGACCCGACCUAUUUUCCACCCUUAUCUGUUGCUAGGGAUGCAAACGAGUCGAGCUCGAGCGAGUUGGAGUUGGCUUAGCUCAACUCGUAUGAAAAUUCGAGCGAGCUCAAACUAAGUGAAGCUCAUGAUCGAGCUGUAGAACAUGACUCGUGCUCAGCUUGUAACGAUCUUGAGUCGAUCUCGAGCUAGUUUCGAGCUAAAUGAGAUGAUAGAAAUUAUAAAUCUAUGGAUUAAAACAAAAAAAAAUUAAGGUGAAUAUGCUGGGAACCUUUGCCAAAAAUAUAGGGUAUUUAACACAUAGUCGACCACGUGCAAUAAUUAGGCCUAAAUCUCCUCUGAACUUAAUUAAGUUUCCAUGUUCGUUGGCAAAUAUAAAAUGGAGAAAAAUUAUGGACAAAAUAUAUGGUAAUAAAUUAUCUUAUUUUCGUUUAAUAUAUGGCAUGAUCAUUUAACAUAAUGAUAUUCUGUCGAGCUAUCGAGCUAAAAUCGAACGAGCCAAUAUUGGCUCAAGAUCGGCUCGUUUCUUGGUCGAGCUACAUAAAGUGUUCAAACUCUGCUUGUUUAUUUUCGAGUCGAUCUCAAGUCGAGUCAAAAAACGAGUCGAUCUCGAGCGGCUCACGAGCCUCGAGCUUUUCUUGCAGCCCUAUCUGUUGCAUGCGCAAAGGGAUCUUCGACUAUUCUAUUUUUCCUACACAUUUUGUUGGUUUUGCAGUAUGUCAACCAGUUCUGUUGUUUUAGGAACAGUACUCUAGCCGCACUUAUUGUUGUCUUCUGUUCUUCCUUUUUCUUGAAUGGUUAUGAUAAUUCUGCUGUCCCUUGGAUAGUUCUUAAGACUAUCUUAAUUACUGUUGGGGCAGUUUGCUUGUUUCAAUUGCUACUUCAUAAUUUCGUUCUUCUGCUGUACUCUUUUAUCUACUUAUCAGUUGUACUUUUGGUUUCUUGUUAGUUCUUUAGUGGUUUCAACUUAAGGGUUGUAUAGGGCAAGUUAAGAUUACUGUUUCCUUUGUGUCAAGUUCAUGAAUGGCUGUGAUGAUAUAACUUCCCUGCGAGAGCUUCUAUCUAACACCUGAAUUGAUUCACUUGGUGCUAAACUAGGAUGGCUUGUGUCACAGCAAGUAACCAGUUCAGCGGCCAACUAUUACUCCCUCCGUCCACAAAUAUAAGAUGUUCAUGGUCAUUUUAGCAGAAGUUCAGUUAUGGUGUCGAGAUGGAGAUAUAAGCAUCUGAGCCUUUUACUGAUACAUGUACCCUUUUUUGUGUCCACCAGAUCAUGAUUUGAUCCCGAUAUAGUAGUUCUUUCUGCUUUCACUGAUUCUUGCGUGGUUUCUGGUCAUAUUUUGUUCUUUGACAACUGGCUUCCCUCUAUUCUUUUUUGUGGGAUUGAAGCAAAGUGCUAUUGAUGGAAAUGAUGAGUAAGGCUCAUUCAGAUGUGUACUGAGAUCAGAUACCAUUGCUUGUUUUUAUGGUGUGUGUUAGGGUUAGGGUUUUGUGUGACUAGGUGGAAGCAUGCAAAUCGGGACGGCUUGCUUUCUGUGAGCAACCAUUUGAAUGAUGAAAUGUAGAACAGGGGCAUCUCCAACGCGGAUCACUAAGUGUAUCAAGUGUAUCAGAUACACUAGCUUCUUCAUAUGGCCGUCCUUCUCUCUACUGAUGCCUGUUUUAAGUCAAAGUAUAUGCAAGUGUUGGCGGUGCUGUGAUUCAUAUGGUCAAUCUGGUUAAGUGCAACAUGCUUGUUCAUACCUGGAUGCAUAUGAGCAUUAAGAUGGCAAGAAAUAAAGUGCCAUGGCUUGAACUGCAAUUUUGAUAACUAGUCUCACUUGCUAGCCAUUACAUAUUAGCCCUCCAUGCAACUGUAUUACCAUACAAUCUUUACAUACAAGUUUACAACUAGCUCCUGUAUUUGUAUCUUUGGCGAGCUACAUGCCUCCAUGCGUCGUACUCCCAGAAUCUAAUGGCCCUGUUGUGCUAUUUGUAAAUUAUGCUGGUUGCGACUAUAAAAAGUGUUUUGUUUUGUGAGUACAGCUGUUUCGUUUGUCGCAUGGAAGUUUUUUUUGUUGCCUAGAUUCCCUGGAGUUUGUACCGAGAGUUCUCUCUACCUAUCGUACCAUUAUGUCUAAUCAUGAAUGUGCAUUUGCAAUAAGCAGUUUCAUCUAGAUAUGGAUCUAGUUUGAUGUCUAUUAUGUGGCUCGAAUAUAUGGGCUAUUCCUUAGUUUUAUGGUGUGUCUCAGGCUCAUGUAGAUGUGACGGAACUAUGUCACAUGUAAGGGCCUCUUUGGGACGGCUCGACUCCUCAAAAAUCAGCUUAACUCCAUCAACUCCACUUUGGAGCAAUUCCAGGAGUUGCAGCUCCACCUUGGAGCAGCAGUUUAUUUUGUUUGGCUUACAGCCAGCUUCAAAUUCAAGAAUGAAUGUUCUAUUCUUUUCUGAAUGGCUAUGAUGAUUUCCUCCUCUUUGGUGGGAAAAGUCUGUUGUGCCCCUAUUUUUUGUUCAAUUGUUGAUGUUUUGAUAGCCCAACAUUUGUGCCCCUUGAGCAAUUGUUGUUAUUUUUCAUUUUUUGCACUCUAAAAAAAUACAAUAUUACACGUGGACUCGUGUACUUCCGGUUUGAGUGUUGUAUGCAUGAACAUGUCGUUGGAUUAAAAAUAUACUGUAUGCACCAAAA
Long non-coding RNA from Aegilops tauschii subsp. strangulata, 3638 nucleotides. RefSeq lists it as uncharacterized. Lineage: Eukaryota; Viridiplantae; Streptophyta; Magnoliopsida; Poales; Poaceae. The record is from RefSeq and is a predicted model, not a curated record.